This 405-nucleotide ribosomal RNA is filed under the name Visoka cataractae. RNAcentral's name for it is "partial 12S ribosomal RNA". The stretch from base 51 to 405 matches the Rfam family "Microsporidia small subunit ribosomal RNA", at positions 752 to 1207 of the family's 1311-position model. Lineage: Eukaryota; Metazoa; Arthropoda; Insecta; Plecoptera; Nemouridae. The record is from RNAcentral.
UAAACUACGAUUAGAUACCCUAUUAUUUUAAAUGUAAAAUAAUUAAACUUGAGUAGUAAUAGUUAUGUUCUUGAAACUCAAAGAAUUUGGCGGUGUUUUAGUCUUUUCAGAGGAACCUGUCCCGUAAUCGAUAAUCCACGUUAAACCUUACUUAUUUUUGUUAUCAGCUUGUAUACCGCCGUCGUCAGAAUGUCCUAAGAAGGUUUUAAUUUUCUUAAAUUUUUAUUAAAAAUGAUGUCAGGUCAAGGUGUAGUUUAUGAAUAAGUGGAGAUGGGUUACAAUAAAUAUAUUUAUAACGGAUAAAGUUUUGCAACAAGCUUUUGAAGGUGGAUUUGAUGGUAAUUAAGUUAAUUAAAGUAAUUUGAUUUUAGCUCUAAAACAUGCACACAUCGCCCGUCGCUCUUA